Ornithodoros turicata is the source of this 2051-nucleotide long non-coding RNA. RefSeq lists it as uncharacterized. NCBI's taxonomy places the organism in Eukaryota, Metazoa, Arthropoda, Arachnida, Ixodida, Argasidae. The record is from RefSeq and is a predicted model, not a curated record. The transcript is spliced from 3 exons.
UAUGACCAGCUUGCGAUCUUAUGUGAUUCCCGGCUCAUCCUGCCUUUUUCGGGUCAUUGGGUUGGUGUUGGAGUUGUUUGCCAUAUUCCGAACGUUUCACCUAUCAUUGCGCCGUACUGUUCUUGACCUGCUGCGAAGCAACGAACUGCAACGGCAGUCACUCGCCUCAGCGAAAUUCUGACUGCUGCAUAUCAAAGGAGCAUCGGGACCUGAUGGUGUACUGCAAAUGCUGAAGUUGAAUUCUUUGAGCCUUCAUCUAAAGAAACCAAGUGUGCUCUCGCGUGGUUCUGACGGAAAAGCAGUUUAAACAAGGAUAUGCCGCUCUGAAGCAUUGAGAUGACGAAAAGUCGUGGGGGCUGCACCUCUGCUUUCGAAAGAUGAAACAGUCAUUCCACACUGUGCUUACUGGCUUAUUAUCGAGUAUGACAAAUCCGACAGACCUGGACUGCCUUUUUCAAGGAAGUUUAAAAUAGCAUCCCCUAUGCGCCUCCGUUUCAAUUAAGAUCUGUGCUACAAGAAUGACAGACCACUCAACAGCGACGAACAUUUGAAGGUGGAAGUGCUGGAACGAAGAUGCGUUAAUCUGUGUGAAAGGUGCUUUGUAUGUGUCUGAGUCGAGGACAUAGGUCAAAAGCUAAUUUCUGUAUUCAGAAUAGGUGUCAACUAUGCUUCUGCUAUCUACUAACCAGCUCCAAUUUUUAGGGUUCCCUGUAAACUAAUGGAGCACAUCAUAUACCAGCACGUUGUUAACCAUGUUGAGUCUAUCAAUUUCUUUUUUUAAAAUUCCAGCAUGGCUUUAGAAAAGGGUAUUUAGGCAAAAUUAACAUAAUUCGGUCACAGCAUUUUAAACUGUCUUGAUUUCUGGGUUCAUGUAGAUGCAGUAUCUUUUAUUUUGUAAGGGCUUUUGACACUGUGCUUUAUGAUCGCUUGUUGGCCAAACUAGCCUCAUUAAAAUUUGAUCCUGCUACCAUUAACUGGACAUGCAGUUUCUUGACUAACCGCAAUCGUACCAACAAUGCGUGAGGAGAACCUAUCAUAUAGCCACCAUGCAGCGUUUGUCACGUUACAAUUGCAUCACAUUUCAACCUAGUGUGAAGCAAGGCCUUUUGGUGAUCGGUCUUGUAUAAUUACACGCCCCUCUGUUAUGUAACACCACACGGUUCUUCAGCCUAUGACAGAUAAAUGAAUAUAUUGCCAAGUAAAUUGUUUACAAGGCUCAUUACCCCAUUUCACCACAUUACCGCAAGCAAUUGUUAGAGUAGUGGCCCAGGGUAUGAAGCUCGCCAUUAAUCAUCAUUGAAACAAAGUUCGUAAUGUAGAAUCCUUUACUGAAAACACCGACUUAACACAACCAUUGAGAACAAAGAGAGUGAACGUUUCGUUGCCUAUCCGGGUGGCAUCAUCGCUACAACAGAGAACAGUCAAAAACAACAUCAAUGGAGUCAAAUCGUGGUGUGCAUUCCUUUCAUCCAAGGUGUUUCAUAUGCCAUUUGAAGGCACUCUGCCCAUCAGGCAUUAAGACUGUGCAUAUAAAGUUAAGUGCAUAGACUGUACAUUGGUGAGACAGACAAAAGACGUGGGACAAGACUAAAAGAGCACACAAGGGACGUUGCCAGGGCUUCUAAUGCUUCUCAAACCAGGACCAUUGUUGGCCUAAGGGACAUGUAUUUAAUUUUGAUGGUGCGGUAACCUGUGCACAUGACUAGCGAUGUGGUCGUAGAAAGUGCUUAGAGUCCUGUUUUAUCAGACGUGAUGCAUCAGCCUGUAAUACAAACCGUGGCCCCCUAUCGGAUGUGUAUGAUGCCCUCUUAGAUAAGUAGGCUGAUGUGCUCGUCUUUGGCCUCUGUUGUACUGAUGAUGCCACCGGGAUAGGCGGCAAAACGUUUACGCUCUGUUUUUAAUCGUUGUGUUAAGCAGUGUUUGCAGUAAAGGAUGUUACAUUAUGAAGUCGUCACCCGGCAUUUGGAAUAUAUUUUCAAAUAAAGUUGUUGUUUUACAAAGCUCAUUACAUUGUAGAAAUCAUUCUUAUUGCCUAUUGUUUAGGGGAUACC